CUGAUCCCAUGCCGAACUCAGAAGUGAAACGUUGUAGCGCCGAUGGUAGUGUGGGGUCUCCCCAUGUGAGAGUAGGGAACUGCCAAGC
Molecule: ribosomal RNA, 88 nt
Filed under: Proteus mirabilis
Lineage: Bacteria; Pseudomonadati; Pseudomonadota; Gammaproteobacteria; Enterobacterales; Morganellaceae
Source: RNAcentral